GGCGGCAAUAGCGCGGUGGUCCCACCUGACCCCAUGCCGAACUCAGAAGUGAAACGCCGUAGCGCCGAUGGUAGUGUGGGGUCUCCCCAUGCGAGAGUAGGACACUGCC
This 109-nucleotide ribosomal RNA is filed under the name Serratia marcescens. Lineage: Bacteria; Pseudomonadati; Pseudomonadota; Gammaproteobacteria; Enterobacterales; Yersiniaceae. The record is from RNAcentral.